GUAUUCGUCGUUCAGUGGUAGAAUUCUCACCUUACAUGUGGGAGACCUAGGUUUGAUUCCCAACCAAUGUA
This 71-nucleotide transfer RNA is filed under the name Loxodonta africana (African savanna elephant). It matches the Rfam family "tRNA". Rfam says of the family: Transfer RNA (tRNA) molecules are approximately 80 nucleotides in length. Their secondary structure includes four short double-helical elements and three loops (D, anti-codon, and T loops). Further hydrogen bonds mediate the characteristic L-shaped molecular structure. tRNAs have two regions of fundamental functional importance: the anti-codon, which is responsible for specific mRNA codon recognition, and the 3' end, to which the tRNAs corresponding amino acid is attached (by aminoacyl-tRNA synthetases). tRNAs cope with the degeneracy of the genetic code in two manners: having more than one tRNA (with a specific anti-codon) for a particular amino acid; and 'wobble' base-pairing, i.e. permitting non-standard base-pairing at the 3rd anti-codon position. Lineage: Eukaryota; Metazoa; Chordata; Mammalia; Proboscidea; Elephantidae. The record is from Rfam by way of RNAcentral.